AGAACGAACGCUGGCGGCAGGCCUAACACAUGCAAGUCGAGCGCCCCGCAAGGGGAGCGGCAGACGGGUGAGUAACGCGUGGGAAUCUACCUAGCUCUUCGGAAUAGCUCCGGGAAACUGGAAUUAAUACCGAGUACGCCCUACGGGGGAAAGAUUUAUCGGAGUUAGAUGAGCCCGCGUUGGAUUAGCUAGUUGGUGGGGUAAUGGCCUACCAAGGCGACGAUCCAUAGCUGGUCUGAGAGGAUGAUCAGCCACACUGGGACUGAGACACGGCCCAGACUCCUACGGGAGGCAGCAGUGGGGAAUAUUGGACAAUGGGCGCAAGCCUGAUCCAGCCAUGCCGCGUGAGUGAUGAAGGCCCUAGGGUGUAAAGCUCUUCAGUGGGGAAGAUAAUGACGGUACCCACAGAAGAAGCCCCGGCUAACUUCGUGCCAGCAGCCGC
RNAcentral lists this ribosomal RNA (442 nucleotides) under uncultured soil bacterium. RNAcentral describes it as "bacterial SSU rRNA". It matches the Rfam family "Bacterial small subunit ribosomal RNA", at positions 26 to 518 of the family's 1533-position model. The record is from RNAcentral.